This 429-nucleotide ribosomal RNA is filed under the name Chloroflexota bacterium. Its description in RNAcentral is "Chloroflexi bacterium partial 16S ribosomal RNA". It matches the Rfam family "Bacterial small subunit ribosomal RNA", at positions 355 to 776 of the family's 1533-position model. Lineage: Bacteria; Bacillati; Chloroflexota. The record is from RNAcentral.
UGGGGAAUAUUGCACAAUGGGCGCAAGCCUGAUGCAGCCAUGCCGCGUGUGUGAAGAAGGCCUUCGGGUUGUAAAGCACUUUCAGCGGGGAGGAAGGCGUUAAGGUUAAUAACCUUGGCGAUUGACGUUACCUGCAGAAGAAGCACCGGCUAACUCCGUGCCAGCUGCCGCGGUAAUACGGAGGGUGCAAGCGUUAAUCGGAAUUACUGGGCGUAAAGCGCACGCAGGCGGUUGAUUGAGUCAGAUGUGAAAUCCCCGGGCUUAACCCGGGAAUUGCAUCUGAUACUGGUCAGCUAGAGUCUUGUAGAGGGGGGUAGAAUUCCAUGUGUAGCGGUGAAAUGCGUAGAGAUGUGGAGGAAUACCGGUGGCGAAGGCGGCCCCCUGGACAAAGACUGACGCUCAGGUGCGAAAGCGUGGGGAGCAAACAGG